RNAcentral lists this ribosomal RNA (333 nucleotides) under uncultured bacterium. RNAcentral's name for it is "bacterial SSU rRNA". It matches the Rfam family "Bacterial small subunit ribosomal RNA", at positions 8 to 334 of the family's 1533-position model. The record is from RNAcentral.
AGGGUUUGAUCCUGGCUCAGGAUGAACGCUAGCUACAGGCUUAACACAUGCAAGUCGAGGGGCAGCAUGUCGGUUGCUUGCAACCGACGAUGGCGACCGGCGCACGGGUGAGUAACGCGUAUCCAACCUACCCUUGUCCAUCGGAUAACCCGUCGAAAGGCGGCCUAACACGAUAUGCGGUUCUCAGCAGGCAUCUAACGAGAACGAAAUGUGAAGGAGAAGGAUGGGGAUGCGUCUGAUUAGCUUGUUGGCGGGGUAACGGCCCACCAAGGCGACGAUCAGUAGGGGUUCUGAGAGGAAGGUCCCCCACAUUGGAACUGAGACACGGUCCAA